Molecule: ribosomal RNA, 443 nt
Filed under: uncultured bacterium
Lineage: Bacteria
Description: partial 16S ribosomal RNA
Rfam family: Bacterial small subunit ribosomal RNA
Source: RNAcentral
CCUACGGUGGGCAGCAGUGGGGGAUAUUGCACAAUGGGGGAAACCCUGAUGCAGCAACGCCGCGUGAGUGAAGAAGUAUUUCGGUAUGUAAAGCUCUAUCAGCAGGGAAGAAGAAAGUGACGGUACCUUAGGAAUAAGCCUCGGCUAACUACGUGCCAGCAGCAGCGGUAAUACGUAGGAGGCAAGCGUUAUCCGGACGUACUGGGCGUAAGGGGUGCGUAGGGGGUUUGACAAGUUGGUAGCGUAACUCCGGGGCUCAACCUCGGCACUACUACCAAAACUGUUGGACUUGGGUGCAGGAGGGGCAAAUGGAAUUCCUAGUGUAGCGGUGGAAUGCGUAUAUAUUAGGAGGAACACCAGUGGCGAAGGCGAUUUGCUGGACUGUAACUGACACUGAGGCACGAAAGCGUGGGGAGCAAACAGGAUUAUAUACCCCUGUAGUC